Molecule: ribosomal RNA, 1325 nt
Filed under: uncultured bacterium
Lineage: Bacteria
Description: bacterial SSU rRNA
Rfam family: Bacterial small subunit ribosomal RNA
Source: RNAcentral
GAACGAACGCUGGCGGCAGGCCUAACACAUGCAAGUCGAGCGGACCCUUCGGGGUUAGCGGCGGACGGGUUAGUAACGCGUGGGAACGUGCCCAAAGGUACGGAAUAGCCUCGGGAAACUGAGAGUAAUACCGUAUGUGCCCCUCGGGGGAAAGAUUUAUCGCCUUUGGAUCGGCCCGCGUUGGAUUAGGUAGUUGGUGGGGUAAUGGCCUACCAAGCCGACGAUCCAUAGCCGGCCUGAGAGGGCGAACGGCCACACUGGAACUGAGAUACGGUCCAGACUCCUACGGGAGGCAGCAGUGAGGAAUAUUGGUCAAUGGGCGCAAGCCUGAACCAGCCAUCCCGCGUGCAGGAAGACGGCCCUAUGGGUUGUAAACUGCUUUUCCAGGGAGAGAAACUUGCGCACGUGUUGCGCAAUUGACGGUACCCUGGGAAUAAGCAUCGGCUAACUCCGUGCCAGCAGCCGCGGUAAUACGGAGGAUGCGAGCGUUAUCCGGAUUCAUUGGGUUUAAAGGGUGCGUAGGCGGACUAUUAAGUCAGUGGUGAAAUCCUGCAGCUUAACUGCAGAACUGCCAUUGAUACUGAUAGCCUUGAGUUUGGUUAAGGUAGGCGGAAUGUGUAAUGUAGCGGUGAAAUGCUUAGAUAUUACACAGAACACCAAUUGCGUAGGCAGCUUACUGAGCCGACACUGACGCUGAGGCACGAAAGCGUGGGGAUCGAACAGGAUUAGAUACCCUGGUAGUCCACGCCGUAAACGAUGAUUACUCGCUGUUGGCGAUACACUGUCAGCGGCUAAGCAAAAGCAAUAAGUAAUCCACCUGGGGAGUACGGCCGCAAGGUUGAAACUCAAAGGAAUUGACGGGGGCCCGCACAAGCGGAGGAACAUGUGGUUUAAUUCGAUGAUACGCGAGGAACCUUACCUGGGCUUAAAUGUAGAGUGCAUUUUCUAGAGAUAGGAAUUCCCUUCGGGGCUUUCUGCAAGGUGCUGCAUGGUUGUCGUCAGCUCGUGCCGUGAGGUGUCGGGUUAAGUCCCAUAACGAGCGCAACCCUUAUCGUUAGUUGCCAUCUGGUAAAGCAGGGGACUCUAGCGAAACUGCCACCGUAAGGUGAGAGGAAGGUGGGGAUGACGUCAAAUCAGCACGGCCCUUAUGUCCAGGGCUACACACGUGUUACAAUGGUCGGUACAGAGGGCAGCUACCUGGUGACAGGAUGCUAAUCUCGAAAACCGGUCUCAGUUCGGAUCGAAGUCUGCAACUCGACUUCGUGAAGCUGGAUUCGCUAGUAAUCGCGCAUCAGCCAUGGCGCGGUGAAUACGUUCCCGGGCCU